This 253-nucleotide ribosomal RNA is filed under the name uncultured bacterium. Its description in RNAcentral is "partial 16S ribosomal RNA". It matches the Rfam family "Bacterial small subunit ribosomal RNA", at positions 524 to 776 of the family's 1533-position model. The record is from RNAcentral.
UACGAAGGGGGCUAGCGUUGUUCGGAAUCACUGGGCGUAAAGCGCGCGUAGGCGGAUUGUUAAGUCGGGGGUGAAAGCCCAGGGCUCAACCCUGGAAUUGCCUUCGAUACUGAGAGUCUUGAGUUCGGAAGAGGUUGGUGGAACUGCGAGUGUAGAGGUGAAAUUCGUAGAUAUUCGCAAGAACACCAGUGGCGAAGGCGGCCAACUGGUCCGAUACUGACGCUGAGGCGCGAAAGCGUGGGGAGCAAACAGG